RNAcentral lists this ribosomal RNA (326 nucleotides) under uncultured eukaryote. Its description in RNAcentral is "partial 18S ribosomal RNA". It matches the Rfam family "Eukaryotic small subunit ribosomal RNA", at positions 1470 to 1796 of the family's 1831-position model. The record is from RNAcentral.
CCCUUAGAUGUUCUGGGCCGCACGCGCGCUACACUGAAUGGAUCAACGUGUUUUCCCUUCCCGAGAGGGACGGGUAACCCGCUGAACCCCAUUCGUGGUAGGGAUCGGGGCUUGCAAUUAUUCCCCGUGAACCAGGAAUGCCCAGUAAGUGCAAGUCAUAAGCUUGCGUUGAUUACGUCCCUGCCCUUUGUACACACCGCCCGUCGCUACUACCGAUUGAACGUUUUAGUGAGGUACUCGGACUGAGCCUCAGAAGAUUCACGUCUUUUGUGCUGCUCGGGAAGAUUCCCAAACUUGAGCGUUUAGAGGAAGUAAAAGUCGUAACA